RNAcentral lists this ribosomal RNA (1727 nucleotides) under Dares sp. 4 SB-2020. RNAcentral describes it as "SSU rRNA". It matches the Rfam family "Eukaryotic small subunit ribosomal RNA". Lineage: Eukaryota; Metazoa; Arthropoda; Insecta; Phasmatodea; Heteropterygidae. The record is from RNAcentral.
CCAUGCAUGUCUCAGUGCAAGCCGAGCCAAGGUGAAACCGCGAAUGGCUCAUUAAAUCAGUUAUGGUUCAUUGGAUCGUACCACACAGUACUUGGAUAACUGUGGUAAUUCUAGAGCUAAUACAUGCGAACAGAGUCCCGACCGGAGACGGGAGGGAUGCUUUUAUUAGAUCAAAACCAAUCGGCCGGUCGCCGGGCCCUCGCGCCCGUGCGGUCCGGUCCGUUUGCUUUGGUGACUCUGGAUAACUUGGAGCAGAUCGCACGGUCCUCGCGCCGGCGACGCGUCCUUCAAAUGUCUGCCUUAUCAACUGUCGAUGGUAGGCUCUGCGCCUACCAUGGUCGUAACGGGUGACGGGGAAUCAGGGUUCGAUUCCGGAGAGGGAGCCUGAGAAACGGCUACCACAUCCAAGGAAGGCAGCAGGCGCGCAAAUUACCCACUCCCGGCACGGGGAGGUAGUGACGAAAAAUAACGAUACGGGACUCAUCCGAGGCCCCGUAAUCGGAAUGAGAACACUUUAAACCCUUUAACGAGUAUCCAUUGGAGGGCAAGUCUGGUGCCAGCAGCCGCGGUAAUUCCAGCUCCAAUAGCGUAUAUUAAAGCUGUUGCGGUUAAAAAGCUCGUAGCUGGACCUGUGUCCCACGCUGUCGGUUCACCGUUCGUCGGUGUCCAACUGGCACGCCCGUGCGGACGUCCUGCCGGUGGACGCGGUCGGCCGCGGUGUAGGGCCCCGCGUGGUGCCCCGCCGGAGCCUGGCGGGAGGACCCCCGAAAGGGGGAGCACCCCCGUCCGGGGGGACGGCGGACCAGCGCCCGCGGUCGGUUCCGACCCGCGCGUCGGCGGUCCGGUGCAAUCCCGCCGCGGUGCUCUUCACCGAGUGUCGAGGUGGGCCGGCACGUUUACUUUGAACAAAUUAGAGUGCUCAAAGCAGGCAGUGGUUGGCCUGGAUGCUGUGUGCAUGGAAUAAUGGAAUAGGACCUCGGUUCUAUUUUGUUGGUUUUCGGAACCCCCGAGGUAAUGAUUAAUAGGGACAGACGGGGGCAUUCGUUAAUUUGACUCAACACGGGAAACCUCACCAGGCCCGGACACCGGAAGGAUUGACAGAUUGAGAGCUCUUUCUUGAUUCGGUGGGUGGUGGUGCAUGGCCGUUCUUAGUUGGUGGAGCGAUUUGUCUGGUUAAUUCCGAUAACGAACGAGACUCCGGCCUGCUAACUAGUCGCACUUGCGGUAUCCCUUCGUGCUACCGGCGACAGAUGAUCUUCUUAGAGGGACAGGCGGCUCCUAGCCGCACGAGAUCGAGCAAUAACAGGUCUGUGAUGCCCUUAGAUGUUCUGGGCCGCACGCGCGCUACACUGAAGGAAUCAGCGUGUCCUCCUGGCCCGAGAGGGCCGGGUAACCCGUUGAAACUCCUUCGUGCUGGGGAUUGGGGCUUGCAAUUGUUCCCCAUGAACGAGGAAUUCCCAGUAAGCGCGAGUCAUGAGCUCGCGUUGAUUACGUCCCUGCCCUUUGUACACACCGCCCGUCGCUACUACCGAUUGAAUGAUUUAGUGAGGUCUUCGGACCGGCGCGCGGCGGCUCCACCUUCCUCCGUCCGGUGCCCCUCCCGCUUAACGGCGGCGAGCGGGGUUACCGCCGGGCGGGGUCGGAGGCCGCUGAUGUCGCUGGGAAGAUGACCGAACUUGAUCAUUUAGAGGAAGUAAAAGUCGUAACAAGGUUUCCGUAGGUGAACC